Molecule: ribosomal RNA, 571 nt
Filed under: uncultured Alphaproteobacteria bacterium
Lineage: Bacteria; Pseudomonadati; Pseudomonadota; Alphaproteobacteria
Description: bacterial SSU rRNA
Rfam family: Bacterial small subunit ribosomal RNA
Source: RNAcentral
GGCGGCAGGCCUCAAACAUGCAAGUCUAGGGGAGUAGCAAUAGCCACCGGCGGACGGGUGCGUAACGCGUGGGAACAUACCUUUCGGUACGGAACAACCCAGGGAAACUUGGGCUAAUACCGUAUACGUCCUAACGGAGAAAGAUUUAUCGCCGAAGGAUUGGCCCGCGUUCGAUUAGCUAGUUGGUGAGGUAACGGCUCACCAAGGCGACGAUCGAUAGCUGUUCUGAGAGGAAGAUCAGCCACACUGGGACUGAGACACGGCCCAGACUCCUACGGGAGGCAGCAGUUGGGAAUCUUGGACAAUGGGGGAAACCCUGAUCCAGCCAUGCCGCGUGAGUGAUGAAGGCCUUCGGGUUGUAAAACUCUUUCGACGGGGACGAUAAUGACGGUACCCGUAGAAGAAGCUCCGGCUAACUUCGUGCCAGCAGCCGCGGUAAUACGAAGGGGGCUAGCGUUGUUCGGAAUUACCGGGCGUAAAGCGCGCGCAGGCGGUCUUUCAAGUCAGUGGUGAAAUCCUGGAGCUCAACUCCAGAACUGCCAUUGAAACUGCAAGACUGGAGUACGAGAGA